This 237-nucleotide ribosomal RNA is filed under the name uncultured Sclerocystis. RNAcentral describes it as "partial small subunit ribosomal RNA". It matches the Rfam family "Eukaryotic small subunit ribosomal RNA", at positions 547 to 786 of the family's 1831-position model. The record is from RNAcentral. Lineage: Eukaryota; Fungi; Glomeromycota; Glomeromycetes; Glomerales; Glomeraceae.
UUUGGAGGGCAAGUCUGGUGCCAGCAGCCGCGGUAAUUCCAGCUCCAAUAGCGUAUAUUAAAGUUGUUGCAGUUAAAAAGCUCGUAGUUGAAUUUCGGGAUCACCAGGUUGGUCGUGCCACUGGUAUGAACUGGCCUUGCUGAUUCCUCCCUCUUGAUGAACCGUAAUGCCAUUAAUUUGGUGUUGCGGGAAAUCAGGACUGUUACUUUGAAAAAAUUAGAGUGUUUAAAGCAGGCA